GAUGAACGCUGGCGGCGUGCUUAACACAUGCAAGUCGAACGGAAAGGCCCUGCUUUUGUGGGGUUCUCGAGUGCCGAAGGCGUGAGUAACACGUGAGUAACCUGCCCUUGUCUUUGGGAUAACUUCACGAAACUGGGGCUAAUACCGGAUAGGAGCUCCUGCUGCAUGGGGGGGGUUGGAAAGUUUCGGCGUUUGUGGAUGGACGCGCGGCUUAUCAGCUUGUUGGUGGAGUAGUUGCUUACCAAGCCUUUGACGGGUAGCCGGCCUGAGAGCGUGACCGGCGACAAUGCGACUGAGAUACGGCCCAGACGCCAACGGGAGGCAGAAGUGGGGAGUAUUACACAAUGGGCCGGAGCCUGAUACAACAACGUCGGGUUCGGGAUGACGGCUUUCGGGUUAAAAACCGCUUUCGCCUGUGACGAAGCGUGAGUGACGGUAAUGGGUAAAUAAGCACCGGCUAACUACGUG
Molecule: ribosomal RNA, 468 nt
Filed under: uncultured bacterium
Lineage: Bacteria
Description: partial 16S ribosomal RNA
Rfam family: Bacterial small subunit ribosomal RNA
Source: RNAcentral